AAAUAAACAAUGAUUCCCCCAGUAGUGGCGAGCGAACGGGGAACAGCCCAAACCAUCCAUGUUACGGCAUGGGUGGGGUUGUAGGACUACGCCGUUGCAUGAAGACAUCAGAGAAGAACUUUCUGGAAAGAAAGACCAUAGAGCAUGACAGUUGCGUAUUCGAAUGUUGUCGAAGCAUAGUAGUAUCCUGAGUAGCGCGGAGCACGAGGAAUUCUGCGUGAAUCUGCCGGGACCAUCCGGUAAGGCUAAAUACUCCCGAGAGACCGAUAGCGAACCAGUACCGUGAGGGAAAGGUGAAAAGCACUUCGAACAGAAGAGUGAAAUAGUUCCUGAAACCGUGCGCCUACAAGCGGUCGGAGCUCGUUAAUGAGUGACGGCGUGCCUUUUGCAUAAUGAACCUACGAGUUGCCUUUGCCGGCAAGGUUAAGUGUGACGACACACGUAUCCGAAGCGAAAGCGAGUCUGAACAGGGCGUAUAGUCGGCAGUGGCAGACGCGAAACCAAGUGAUCUACCCUUGGCCAGGUUGAAGGCUGGGUAACACCAGCUGGAGGACCGCACCAAUAAGCGUUGAAAAGCUUCUGGAUGAGCUGAGGGUAGGGGUGAAAGGCUAAUCAAACUUGGAGAUAGCUCGUACUCCCCGAAAUGCAUUUAGGUGCAGCCUUGCGGGUUACUGAUGUGAGGUAGAGCGACUGAUAAGAUGCGAGGGCUUCACCGCCUAUCAAGUCUUGACAAACUCCGAAUGCGCAUCAGUUCUACCGCAGGAGUGAGGGCAUGGGUGCUAAGGUCCGUGCCCGAGAGGAGAAGAAUCCGGACCACCUGCUAAGGUCCCGAAAUGACAGCUAAGUUAAACUAACGAAGUCUGACUGCUAAGACAGCUAGGAUGUUGGCUUGGAAGCAGCCAUUCAUUUAAAGAGUGCGUAACAGCUCACUAGUCGAGGAGUCGGGCGUGGAUAAUAAUCGGGUAUCAAGUUGUCUACCGAAGCAGUGGGAUCAUUAAUAUGAUCGGUAGGGGAGCAUUCCAGUCAGCGUCGAAGGCGUACCGUGAGGUAUUCUGGAGCGUCUGGAAAAGCAAAUGUAGGUAUAAGUAACGAUAAAGGGGGCGGGAAACCCCCUCGCCGAAAGACUAAGGUUUCCUGAUCAACGCUAAUCGGAUCAGGGUCAGUCGGGUCCUAAGGCUCAGCCGAACGGCGAUGCCGAUGGCAGAAACGGUUAAUAUUCCGUUACUACCUUCAGGAGUGACGUGGAGACGCAGUAGUGACAGUGCCGCCAUCUGACGGAAUAGAUGGUUGAAGGGUGUAGGAGUCGAUCAUGGCAGGCAAAUCCACCAUGAGAUCCGAACCUGAUAGUAUGCCGCGUCCUUCGGGACAAGGCAAUAGUGCGCGUAAGCAUGCUGCCGAGAAAAUCCGCUAAACUUAAUCCUGCAGGUACCCGUACCGCAAACGGACACACGUAGUCGGGAUGAAUAUUCUAAGGCGCUUGAGUGAUUCACGGUUAAGGAACUAGGCAAACUGACCCUGUAACUUCGGGAUAAAGGGUCCCUACCCUUUUAUGGGAGGGCGCAGAGAAUCGGUCCAGGCAACUGUUUAACAAAAACACAGGGCUGUGCCAAAUCGAAAGAUCCAGUAUACAGCCUGACACCUGCCCGGUGCUGGAAGGUUAAGAGGAGAUGUCAUCGAUAAGAGAAGCGUUGAAUUGAAGCCCCAGUAAACGGCGGCCGUAACUAUAACGGUCCUAAGGUAGCGAAAUUCCUUGUCGGGUAAGUUCCGACCUGCACGAAUGGUGUAAUGAUCUGGACGCUGUCUCAACCGUGAGCUCAGUGAAAUUGUAGUAUCGGUGAAGAUGCCGAUUACCCGCGAUGGGACGAAAAGACCCCGUGAACCUUUACUAUAGCUUAACAUUGAAUUUGGGUAAUUGAUGUGUAGGAUAGGCCGGAGACUUUGAAGCAGGUACGCCAGUAUUUGUGGAGUCGCUGUUGAAAUACGGCCCUUUGAUUAUUUGAGUUCUAACUCGUAGAUGCGAGGACACUGUUUGGUGGGUAGUUUGACUGGGGUGGUCGCCUCCAAAAGUGUAACGGAGGCUUCUAAAGGUGCCCUCACGACGAUUGGUAACCGUCGGCAGAGUGUAAUGGCAUAAGGGCGCUUGACUGGGAGACUUACAAGUCGAUCAGGUAGGAAACUAGAGCAUAGUGAUCCGGUGUUUCCGUAUGGAA
RNAcentral lists this ribosomal RNA (2210 nucleotides) under human gut metagenome. RNAcentral's name for it is "bacterial LSU rRNA". It matches the Rfam family "Bacterial large subunit ribosomal RNA", at positions 223 to 2438 of the family's 2925-position model. The record is from RNAcentral.